AAACGUAUGGCUUAGUGGUAGAGCGCUUAAAAAGUUUCCAAGAGCGCGGGUUCAACUCCCGCUACGUUCA
RNAcentral lists this transfer RNA (70 nucleotides) under Heliconius melpomene (postman butterfly). RNAcentral describes it as "tRNA HMEL012911". It matches the Rfam family "tRNA". From Rfam's summary of the family: Transfer RNA (tRNA) molecules are approximately 80 nucleotides in length. Their secondary structure includes four short double-helical elements and three loops (D, anti-codon, and T loops). Lineage: Eukaryota; Metazoa; Arthropoda; Insecta; Lepidoptera; Nymphalidae. The record is from RNAcentral.